RNAcentral lists this ribosomal RNA (216 nucleotides) under Glomeromycotina sp. RNAcentral's name for it is "partial small subunit ribosomal RNA". The stretch from base 40 to 216 matches the Rfam family "Eukaryotic small subunit ribosomal RNA", at positions 686 to 864 of the family's 1831-position model. The record is from RNAcentral. Lineage: Eukaryota; Fungi; Glomeromycota.
GGGUCAGUAGGUUGGUCGUGCCACCGGUACGUACUGGUCUCACUGAUUCCUCCUUCCUGAAUAACCGUAAUGCCAUUAAUUUGGUGUUGCGGGGAAACAGGACUGUUACUUUGAAAAAAUUAGAGUGUUUAAAGCAAGCUAACACUUGAGUACAUUAGCAUGGAAUAAUGAAAUAGGACGAUCGAUCCUAUUUUGUUGGUUUCUAGGAUUGACGUA